RNAcentral lists this ribosomal RNA (1466 nucleotides) under uncultured Bordetella sp. RNAcentral's name for it is "partial 16S-23S ribosomal RNA intergenic spacer". It matches the Rfam family "Bacterial small subunit ribosomal RNA". Lineage: Bacteria; Pseudomonadati; Pseudomonadota; Betaproteobacteria; Burkholderiales; Alcaligenaceae. The record is from RNAcentral.
GGUUUGAUCCUGGCUCAGAUUGAACGCUGGCGGGAUGCUUUACACAUGCAAGUCGAACGGCAGCACGGACUUCCGGUCUGGUGGCGAGUGGCGAACGGGUGAGUAAUGUAUCGGAACGUGCCUAGUAGCGGGGGAUAACUACGCGAAAGCGUAGCUAAUACCGCACACGCCCUUCGGGGGAAAGCGGGGACCUUCGGGCCUCGCACACUAUUAGAGCGGCUGAUAUCGACGAAUAUUAUAAUGGUCACUGAAGGCGACGAUCCGUAGCUGAUGGAGAUAUCGACCCAGCCACACUGGACUGAGACACGCCCAGUACUCCUACGGGAGGCAGCAGUGUAAUUUGGAUUACCGGGGAACCCGAUCCAGCCAUCCUUGGCAAGUGAUGAAGGCCUUCGCUGUGUUAAUUUUUUGGCAGGAAGAACGCAUUCGGAGGACACCGCAACUGACGGUAUCAGAAUAAGCACCGGCUGUCCUACGUGCCAGCAGCCGCGGUAAUAUGUAGGGUGCAAGCGUUAAUCGGAAUUACUGGGCGUAAAGCGCAGGCAGUUCGGAAAGAAAGAUGUGAAAUCCCAGAGCUUUAACUUUGGAACUGCAUUUAACUACCGAGCUAGGAGGUGUCAGGUGGAGGUGGAAUUCGCGUGUAGCAGUGAAAUGCGUAGAUAUGCGGAGGAACACCGAUGGCGAAGGCAGCUUCCUGGGAUAACACUGACGCUCAUGCACGAAAGCGUGGGGAGCAAACAGGAUUAGAUACUCCUGGUAGUCCACGCCCUCAACGAUGUCAACUAGCCGUUGGGGCCUUCGGGCCUGGUAGCGCAGCUAACGCGUGAAGUUGACCGCCUGGGGAGUACGGUCGCAAGAUUAAAAACCCAAAGGAAUUGACGGGGACCCGCACAAGCGGUGGAUGAUGUGGAUUAAUUCGAUGGAACGCGAAAAACCUUUACCUACCCUUGACAUGUCUGGAAUCCCGAAGAGAUUUGGGGAUGCCUGCAAGAGAACCGGAACACAGGUGCUGCAUGGCUGUCGUCAGCUCGUGUCGAGAUGUUGGGUUAAGUCCCGCAACGAGCGCAACCUCUUGUCAUUAGUUGCUGCCGAAAGGGCACUCUAAUGAGACUGCCGGUGACAACCGGAGGAAGGUGGGGAUGACGUCAAGUCCUCAUGGCCCUUAUGGGUAGGGUUUACUAUCAUACAAUGGUCGUGGGACAGAGGGUCGCCAACCUCGCUAUAAGCUAACUCCCAGAAACCGAUUGUAGUCCGAUUCCAGUCUGCAACUCGACUGCGUGAAGUCGGAAUCGCUAGUAAUCGCGGAUCAGCAUGUCGCGGUGAAUACGUUCCCGGGUCUUGUACACACCGUCCGUCACACCAUGGGAGUGGGUUUUACCAGAAGUGGUUAGCCUAACUGCAAGGAGGGGCGAUUACCACGGUAGGAUUCAUGACUGGGGUGAAGUCGUAACAAGGUAGCUCUGUUA